RNAcentral lists this ribosomal RNA (497 nucleotides) under uncultured bacterium. RNAcentral's name for it is "partial 16S ribosomal RNA". It matches the Rfam family "Bacterial small subunit ribosomal RNA", at positions 28 to 507 of the family's 1533-position model. The record is from RNAcentral.
GAUGAACGCUGGCGGCGUGCCUAAUACAUGCAAGUCGAGCGAACAGACGAGGAGCUUGCUCCUCUGACGUUAGCGGCGGACGGGUAAGUAACACGUGGAUAACCUACCUAUAAGACUGGGAUAACUUCGGGAAACCGGAGCUAAUACCGGAUAAUAUAUUGAACCGCAUGGUUCAAUAGUGAAAGACGGUUUUGCUGUCACUUAUAGAUCGAUCCGCGCCGCAUUAGCUAGUUGGUAAGGUAACGGCUUACCAAGACAUCGAUGCGUAGCCGACCUGAGAGGGUGAUCGGCCACACUGGAACUGAGCCACGGUCCAGACUCCUACGGGAGGCAGCAGUAGGGAAUCUUCCGCAAUGGGCGAAAGCCUGACGGAGCAACGCCGCGUGAGUGAUGAGGGUCUUCGGAUCGUAAAACUCUGUUAUUAGGGAAGAACAAAUGUGUAAGUAACUAUGCACGUCUUGACGGUACCUAAUCAGAAAGCCACGGCUAACUACGUG